RNAcentral lists this ribosomal RNA (691 nucleotides) under Salmonella enterica subsp. enterica serovar Infantis. RNAcentral describes it as "partial 23S ribosomal RNA". It matches the Rfam family "Bacterial large subunit ribosomal RNA", at positions 711 to 1398 of the family's 2925-position model. The record is from RNAcentral. Lineage: Bacteria; Pseudomonadati; Pseudomonadota; Gammaproteobacteria; Enterobacterales; Enterobacteriaceae.
AGACCCGAAACCCGGUGAUCUAGCCAUGGGCAGGUUGAAGGUUGGGUAACACUAACUGGAGGACCGAACCGACUAAUGUUGAAAAAUUAGCGGAUGACCUGUGGCUGGGGGUGAAAGGCCAAUCAAACCGGGAGAUAGCUGGUUCUCCCCGAAAGCUAUUUAGGUAGCGCCUCGUGAAUUCAUCUCCGGGGGUAGAGCACUGUUUCGGCUAGGGGGCCAUCCCGGCUUACCAACCCGAUGCAAACUGCGAAUACCGGAGAAUGUUAUCACGGGAGACACACGGCGGGUGCUAACGUCCGUCGUGAAGAGGGAAACAACCCAGACCGCCAGCUAAGGUCCCAAAGUCAUGGUUAAGUGGGAAACGAUGUGGGAAGGCCCAGACAGCCAGGAUGUUGGCUUAGAAGCAGCCAUCAUUUAAAGAAAGCGUAAUAGCUCACUGGUCGAGUCGGCCUGCGCGGAAGAUGUAACGGGGCUAAACCAUGCACCGAAGCUGCGGCAGCGACACUCAGGUGUUGUUGGGUAGGGGAGCGUUCUGUAAGUCUGCGAAGGUGGCCUGUGAGGGUUGCUGGAGGUAUCAGAAGUGCGAAUGCUGACAUAAGUAACGAUAAAGCGGGUGAAAAGCCCGCUCGCCGGAAGACCAAGGGUUCCUGUCCAACGUUAAUCGGGGCAGGGUGAGUCGACCCCUAAGGCG